CGGCGGUGGGCUCGUUGAUGAUGCGCAUGACGUUCAGGCCGGCGAUUGUGCCGGCGUCUAUGGUGGCCUGGCGCUGCGAGUUGUUGAAGUAGACAGGGACGGUGACCACGGCGUUCUUGACCGUGGUGCCGAGGUACACCUCGGCGGUCUCCCUCAUCUUGGUGAGCACCAUGGCGGAGAUCUCCUCGGGCAUGAACUGCUUCUCUUUGCCUUUGUACUGCACCGCGAUCAUCGCGCGGUCGUCACGACCUGCGACGACUUUGAAAGGCCACAGCUUGAUAUCUUCUUGUACAAUCUCGUCACUGAACUUGCGGCCGAUCAAUCGCUUUACUUCUGUAAAAACGUAGUAAUGUCGUCAGUUAAGUGAAUGAACCGUAAAUACUAGCUUAACCAUUACUUUGAAACGUACUGCUAUACUAUUUCUAGCAAUCACACCUGUUCUUUCAUAUUCUCUGAACUCUGAAAAUGCUCUUAAUUGCAAUCCAUGAGUUGUUUCGAACGAAAGGUUUGUAUAUGGCACUGGCUAGCAGUACUAGUAUUCACUAGGAGCGCCAAUGGAAAUUAAACAGCAGUGUAGAGUGAAAGCGAAAAGGUACUUCCACUAAAACAAGGUAAAAAGUGUCAUAAACACGAACAGGGCGUCUAGAGAAAUUUAAAAGAAUUGUAGGCACGCAAUCGUGCGAUUGUGACAGAAUUGCAAACGACCAGUGCAGCAAGCUCGCCGUUGUAUUGCGCCUGCAUGCUAUUUCCUUCUCUACUAGUACUAGUACUAUGUAAUAUUCAGUCAUUAACACCUUCGGCAGUUCGGCUAGACACAGCUGAUCUGUGUUGGAUUCAACUGAAGAACAUAUAUAACAAUUAACAAGGAAUAUACAUAUGCGAGUGAUGAAACAGCUGUGCUGUGUGCAGUAGUGCUCACCGAAAACUGUGUUGGUGGGGUUCAAAGCGGCCUGGUUUACGGCCGCCUCGCCGGCAAACAUCUUGUCGUCGGUGAACGCGACGCAGGACGGCGUGAGGCGGUUGCCCUGGUCGUUGGCGAUAAACUCGCUGCGAUCUCGCCGCCAUAUGGCCACACAUGAGUAGGUCGUCCCCAGGUCGAUGCCGAUCGCCAGCCCGCCGUCUUUCGAAAUCACCAUCGUCUGCACUGCACACCGUCGCAAUCUAAGCCCUAGGUACUAGCGCGCGGGGGGGGGGGGAGGGGGGGUGUAUAUGUGAUGCGGAUGGAGGGGCGUGCUAGAGUCCGCUUCGGACGCGACGCACCGUCCGGCAGGCGUUUCCCUCUCAAAAAUUACCGCCAACCCGUACCGGCCAAGGCUACAACACGCAACGCGCGGGAAGCACCGUAGAAAUUUUUAGUGGGGGACCGAGCAACUGCAUAUUAUUUUUUGCCGUUCGUUGAUUUGCAUGCGGUGCAAAUUAAAAAAAGUCUGUGGAAUAUCUAAAUUAAAUUCUGAUUGUAUCAUUAUUUUUUAUAAUAAAUAUUUCAAAACAAAAACCCACAUGAAUAUAUUUAGAUAAAUAUUAUUAUUAAACAUUAAUUUCAUAAAAGAUAUAAUAUUUUCUUUUAUUGAGCGAAGAUGAUGUCAUAGGAUCAGAGAAUAAUGUUCAAUCUUUGUAAAAAAAAGAAUAUCACAUGAGUAUUGUUUAAAACAUCCUAAAAUAUAUUAUAAAACAUCAUACGUAUACUAAGUGAACAUUAUUAAAUAUACCAUAGAAUAUCAUAAAAUAUAUUAUAGAACAUUUAUGUAUUACGUGAACAUUACUAAAUACCAUAUAACAUUAAUAAAUACAUUAUAAAACAUCUCAUAUAUAUUACAUGAACAUAAAAACAUCAUAGAACAUCACAUGUAUACUAUGUGAACAUAAAAAAAAUAGCAUAGAGCACCACAUGUAUACUACGAGAACAACACAUGUAUAUUACGCGAACAUCGUAUCAUCAUAGAAUAUUACUCCCUUUUGUCCCUAAAAGCUUCAACUUUUAGAGUUGUCCUAAGUCAAACUUUCAAAAACUUUAGCCAAAUUUUUAGAAAAAAACACUAAGAUUUAUAGUACCAAACUAAUACCAUUAGAUUUAUCAUAAAAAUAUAUUUUCAUAAGAUACUCAUUUUAUGUCAUAGAUAUUGAUGCUCUUUUCUAUAAAAUUGGUUAAAAUUAAAAAAAAAUACUAACAUGGAUUCUAGGAGUUGAAGCUUUCACAAAUUGAGGGAGUACAUACAUACCACGUGAACAAAAAAAUUCACAGAACAUCACAUGUUGUAUGACACAUGAACAUAAAAACUAUCACAUAUAUACACAUAAACAUCACAAAAAAUAACAUAAAACAUAAUAACAAAUAAAAAAAUAAAAUAAAAGAGAAAAGAAAUAAAAGAAAUGUAAAAAUAUUAAAAUGAAAAUAAUAAUAAUAAUAAACACAUAGAAUUCUAAAAAUAAAAAAAUGAAUGAUGCAAAAAAGAAAAUAAAAAAUUUAAGAAAGAUUAAAAAUAAAAAACAUGAAUCAAAGGAAAACAAAAUUAGAAAAGAAACAAAUAAAAUAAAAUAAAACAUCAUAUAUAUAUAUAUACAUCCACGUGAACAUAAAAAAUAGUAAAGAAAAGAAAUAAAAGAGAAAAAACAAAAAUAAUUAAAAAAGUUGUCCACACGAUUUGUUAGAAAUUUGUUAUUUUUAUAUCUCACAAAUAAAUUUGAGUUUGGACAAAAUAUUUUACAAGAUUGUGUAUCAUCAUAUCAUCUACAUGUGUGAUUUUUUUGGUGAAUUUAGACGACUUUUUUGCUAUGGUUUACACGGGUUUUCACCCGAUACAUAAGGGAUAUAGGUACUCUUGGAGAUGAGUUUUUCUUUUUUUUCUCAAAAAAAUAUAGACAGGGAAGAAAUUAGAGUACUUUUAAAGAUGCUCUUAGCUAAUUUUUAAUGCUAAUGAAUCCAAAUCGGCCCGGGAUCCACCAAAUGGCCCUAGCAGCUAGUCAGAUCCAUGCAAAAGAGCACUUUCGGCCCACGGGUCCACCGUCCACGUACAUUGUACACACACCUUCGUUUUCUUUUUGCAGCCGCCAGCCGUACCCGCUGACCCGCACGUUCUUCUUCCCCCGCGCGCUCGUCUCUCGCCGCGCCGGCGCUUCCACAAUGCCCCGGUGCCCAUGAUGGUGGCUAGGAGGAUUUUACAUCGUUGCGCACGCCUACCGUUGAUCAAGAGUCACCAGCUCGCGGCGUGUUAUUCACUGAUACAGCUCGACUGCACUGUCGCUCAUUCGCUAUUUUCGCGCAGACAGAGGUGGCCUCUGACUGUCGCAUGUCUCGGGACAGCUUUGUACCCAGGCUCAGGUUAUGAUCCAUAUGUUCAGCAUUUCUUCCUCUGCAUCCUUCUCGUUUAAUAAUCAAAGAAUUAAGGUAGCAAUCCGUCUACUCCUGAGUCAUGACACCAGCUAGCGACGUGAUCCUAGGAAGGGAGGACAGAGAAUGCAGCAAAACCCCCAUGAAUUACUGUGUUCCAACGACUUGGGUGAGGAAGUUCAUAGAGGUACAGCCGUACAGACAUACAGUGAUACUGAGGCAAUUUUCGCAUCAAGCUAGUAUUAUGAACUACUUGUGGCAAUAUGUUUGUCUGAAAUGGAGCAGUAAUCUGUUUGUUUCACUUAAACAGUGCUCAGGUAAAUAAAGAAUUUGUUUAUGCCCCUUAAGCCAGUUUAACAGCUAUUAUGAAUUGUUGUAGUCACUUGCAGUUCUGGCUUGAUCGACGGGUUUUAGGCCAAGUAGUGAGCGUGCUUUUAAUGUUCUAACAAAUCACUAAAGGUCACACAAAUCAGACAAACACUGCGUACAGAUCUAGUAUCAGACAUACACAUGACACACUGAAACUAUGCCAACUCAGAAGUCAGAAUUCGUUUGCCUGAUGAAAGGCAUUCAACAGAUACAGUGAGGAUUACUCUAAUAGUCUAGCAACAUCUAUUAAAGCAAGACUCCACUUCCGCAAAAGACGAAAGCACUAGCUAGGCUAUAUAUGCCAAAGCCUAAAGUUGCAUUGUCAUAUUUAAGCACCCAAUCAGUGCGACUUAAUUCUAGGGAGAACUGGUAUGCAAAAGAUCAUCUAACUGUGAUCAGCCAUGGUAAGGGUUGCAGAAUCAGUUUCCACGCUCAGUUGGUACCCAUUCUCCUGUACCUCUCCGCCUCCUGCACCAUGUGCUCGAUUUCCUCCUUGUGCAGCCGGCCACUGUGGUUAGUGAUGGUAAUGCUGUUUUUCUGCCCACUGGUCUUGUCCUCUGCCAACACAUUCAGGACGCCGUUCAAGUCAAUGUCGAACGUGACAUCAAGACAAGGAAUGCCCCUGGGCCUGGGGAGGAUCCCAGAUAGCUUGAACUGCCCGAGUAGGUUGUUGUCCUUGGUGCUCGCACUCUCACCCUCGUACACCAUGAUGUCCACAGACUCUUGAUUGUCAUAACUGGUGGUAAAGCCCUCUACCCUCUUCUUGAAAGGAAUGGCUGUAUUCCGUGGGAUCAUUGUCCUCAUUAUGUCAUCUUGCAUCUUCCCCUUAACAGUAUCCCUGACACAUAACCCUAGCGAGAGAGGUGUGACGUCCUGAAGAAGCAUAUCCAGCAACCUCCCAUGAUCGGUUUUGCCACUGAGAAUAAAGGCAUGGAUGGCAGCACCGUAAACAACAGCUUCAUCAGGGUUGAUGCUCCGGCGAAGCUCUUUCCCAUCAAAGAAUUCCUGGAGCAUGUUCUGCACCUUGGGGAUGCGGGUGGAGCCACCCACGAGGACAACAUCAUGGAUGCUGCUGUUGUCCACCUUGGCAUCAUGGAGGCACUUUUCCAAUGCCUCCAUGCAUUUACUGAAGAGGUGUUUGUUCAGUUCCUCAAAUCGGGAGCGGGUGAUGGUGGUGCAGAAGUCAAUGCCAUCAUGGAGGGAGUCCACCUCAAUGGUGGUCUGUGUCGCAGAAGACAGCAUUCUCUUCGCUCUCUCGCAGGCAGUCCUCAGUCGCCGGAGUGCCUUCUGGUUUCUUUUGAUUUCUGUCUUGUUGUGUUUCCGUAUGAACUCCCGAAGAGCAUACUCCACCAUCUCAUUAUCAAAAUCCGCUCCACCAAGGUGAGUGUUACCGGCGAUGGCCUUCACCUCAAAGACACCCUUACCCAUGGAGACACCUGGAUCAAUGUUAAGGAGGGAGACAUCGAAGGUACCACCACCAAGAUCAAAGACGAGCACUGUUCUCCCGGUGUUGCUGACAGGCAUCUUCUCAAGACCAUAGGCAAUGGCGGCAGCAGUGGGCUCGUUGAUGAUGCGCAUGACAUUCAGGCCAGCAAUGGUGCCUGCAUCUAUUGUGGCCUGGCGCUGAGAGUUGUUGAAGUAGACAGGAACAGUGAUGACUGCAUUUUUUAUCCUGGUACCAAGGUAGACUUCAGCUGUCUCCUUCAUUUUGGCCAGCACCAUGGAGGAGAUCUCCUCAGGAAAGAACUGCUUCUCCUCACCUUUGAACUGCACCACAAUCAUUGGGCGGUCCUCAAGAUCAGCGGCAACUUUGAAAGGCCACAGCUUGAUAUCUUCUUGUACAUGCUCAUCACUGAAACGGCGGCCAAUCAGUUGUUUCACCUCUGUAGAAAAUUAGUCAUGUAUCAAUCAGAGUGAACCAUGUAUAGCUUAGCUUCAGUAAUCUGAUUAGCAUCUAUUGACAUUUCUGCUACGAAAAAAUAUAUGAUCUGUUACUGCCUAGGCUAAACUUGGAUAUGCCCAGAUUCAGAAUUCACGAAUUUUUAACCAUCAAUAAGCAAAUUAAUAGAAAAACAGUAUGUGCAGUGAUGGGAUUUUCACUAGAAUAUCGUGGCUUUCAUUGGACAGUUGCAGCAUUGCCAUGAAUUAUCACUUAAUCAGCAUCCUUGCAAUGCGAUCAACUCCAACCCUGGUUUUUAGAUUUAACGAGAUGAAUUGAACAAUCAGUGACGCGGAAAGGGGGUUUACCAGGGUUUAGGGGUUCCUGGGGAUACUAAACAAUCUUAACCAAGACGGAAAAAGUGCCUUUUAAAAUCCGUGGGUUAGAAAAAUAAACGGCAUAAAUUAGAAAAAUCAGAUGAAGCAGAACAAGCCAGGUAGAGAAGAAGGUUGUAGCAAUCCAUUCAUCGCCCAGCCCCCGGAGACCAGAGUCACUGGGCAAGCAUCGAUUACAGCGGGGAUUCGAUGGAUCUAGAAUUCUAUAUAGUGUCUGACGCUACGGUGAGCACUGGGCCGCCGGCCAUCGAGUUUUGCGAUUCGAACGAAUAUCGAUCUGGCCAUUAAAAGAUAACGGAAAAAACCCACCUUUGCGCUUCACGUGUACCCUCGCCGACUACCAACAAAAGGGGGGCGAUGAGCCGAUGAACACUAACAGCUACUGAAGUGAAGGCUACACAAGGGAGAAACACCGGCGAGUAGUACGCAAGCACUCACCGAAGAUGGUGUUGGUGGGGUUUAGGGCGGCCUGGUUCACGGCCGCCUCGCCGACGAGCCUCUCGGUGCUGUUGAAGGCGACGCAGGACGGCGUGAGACGACUGCCCUGGUCAUUGGCGAUGACCUCGCCGCGGUCAUGCCGCCACACGGCCACGCAGGAGUAAGUCGUACCGAGGUCGAUGCCGACCGCCGGACCGUCGCUCUCCGAAGCGGCCGCCAUCUUCCUUCGCAGAGAAGCGUGUGCGAGAAGAGUGGUAGUACUACUUCCGUUGAGACACAGGUGUGCCAAGAGGGAGUGCAGUGUGCGGCGUGCUCAUAUGUGUCCCAGCAUCGCUCCUGCGCAGUGUGUCCGCUGUGGGCUGCGCGCUCGUUGUGGGCCGCGUCAUGGGCCUUCCCCCACUCAAUGCAACGUCUGUACACCCGUCCGACCGCUCGGGAAGUUUUCCGGAUGCUUCCACCACACAUCCACACGGCAGCACCGUCGUCGACAAGUGACAAUCUUGGUCUGCCGCUGCGUAUCGCUCCUGUGGCCUGAAAAUUGUGCUUCUACCAUGGAAAAUUUGGCCUUGCCAAUCUCAUGUAUAUACAGGUAUAGAUCGAAGCAAUGUGUGCCGGCCUGCGACCCUGUGUGUGGUGCAGCCGUUCAGUUUAACGGAUGCUGGAGGCUGCUACAAGAAUUUUGACAUGCACAUGUAAACAAGUUUGGUGCGCUGCCAAGCCUUUCGUGGUAAAGACAAUUCCUUUGAGUAGCUUAGCCCAAAUGGAGCAGUAAUUAAUCUAUUUGUUAGGCCUUGUUUAGUUUGUAAAAAAAAUAGAUUUGGCUACUAUAGCAUUUCAAUUAGUGUCCAAUUUGGACUAAUCAGACUCAAAAGAUUUGUCUCACAAAUUACAUGUAAACUAAUUAGUUAUUUUUAUCUAUAUUUAAUAUUCCAUGUGUUUAAAUAUUUGAUGUGAUGGAACGAAAAGAAAAUUUUUGGAAACUAAGGACAUUAGCCUAGACAAAAAUUUGUGUGGUGCGGUACCACCAGAUCUACAUGCUUGUCUUCUCAUGAUAUAAAAGAGCACAUUUGAUGCUAUGUUGUUGGCAAUCUACUACGGUCUACAGGUUCGCGCUGCUACUCAUCAGCUUGUUAAUAGUAGUUUGGAUUCUCCAAGGAAGGAGUUCGGAUUCAGCAAAAGUUCAUGGUUGCAAGACACAUCCAACAGAAAUAGAAGAUUACUGCAUUAAUAUCACCAAAGUUCCAGAAACGACGACAGCACAAGCUAGGCUAUGGCCUGUUCCCAGCUUAAAACCAGCUUGAGUGCUUGACAGAAGCAAGACACUCGAGAAAAUAGAACAUUACUACAAUAUCACCAUGGUUCCAGAAACAACGACAUUACCAAGCUUAUGGCCAUACACAAACCAAGCCAAAAGUCACGUCAUUUAGCAUCCAUUGCAACAAAAGCAACGAGCUACUUACCAGAGCUUUGAUAUGAACCCCUCCCACUUUACCUCUCACUCUCAGCCUUCAACACCAAGUGCGUGAUUUCCUCCUUGCGCAGCCGGCCACCAUGGUUAACAAUGGUGAUGCUGUUCUUCCGCCCAGUGUCCCUGUCCUCCGCGGACACCUUCAGGACGCCGUUUGCAUCGAUAUCGAAGGUGACAUUGAAAUCAGGUACACCCUGCGGUGCCGGGGGUACAUCGGUGAGCUUGAACUUGCCGAGCAGGUUGUUGUCCCUGGUGUUUGCGCUCUCGCCCUCGUACACUGGAAAGCUCACAGCAGUCUGGUUGUCGUAGAAGGUGGUGAAGCGCCGCACCUUCUUGGUCGGGAUGGCAGUGUUCCUCGGGAUGACCACGCUCAUUGUAAAAUUAUCUUCAGUUUCAAUCCCAAGCGAGAGUGGCGUAACUUCACGCAGAAGCAUAUCUACUAAUCUCCCAUCGUCAGUUCGACCACUGAGAAUAGAGGCCUGGAUGGCAGCACCGUACGCAACAGCUUCAUCAGGGUUGAUGCUGCGGCAAAGCUCCUUCCCACAGAAGAAAUCCCGAAGCAUGCUCUGCACCUUGGGGAUACGGGUGGAGCCGCCCACGAGGACAACGUCGUGGAUGCUGCUCUUGUCCAUCUUGGCAUCGCAUAAGCACUUAUCCAGACCCUUCAUGCACUUGCUGAAAAGAUCCUUGUUGAGCUCCUCAAAUCGAGACCGGGUGAUGGUGGUGCAGAAGUCGAUGCCUUCAUGGAGCGAGUCGACCUCAAUGGUGGUCUGUGCAGUGGAAGACAACAUCCUCUUUGCUCUCUCGCAGGCAGUCCUCAUUCCUCAACCGCCGGAGUGCCUUCUGGUUGCUAUGGAUGUCCAUCUUCCCAUGUUUCCGUGUGAACUCACGAAGAGAAUAUUUCACCAUCUCGUUGUCGAAAUCAGCCCCACCAAGGUGAGUGUCACCGGCAAUGGCCACCACCUCGAAGAGACCCUUAUCCAUGUUGGUUCCUGGAUCAAUGUUGAGGAGGGAAACAUCAAAGGUACCACCACCAAGAUCAAAGACGAGCACCGUCCUUUGUUUGUUGCUGACUGACAUCUUCUCAAGACCAUAUGCAAGGGCAGCCGCAGUUGGCUCAUUGAUAAUGCGCAUGACAUUUAGGCCGGCAAUGGCACCAGCGUCAAUGGUAGCCUGCCGCUGGGAGUUGUUGAAGUAGACAGGGACUGUGAUGACAGCGUUCUUGAUCUUUUUACCCAGAUAUACCUCGGCUGUCUCUCUCAUCUUGACCAGCACCAUGGAGGAGAUCUCCUCAGGCAUGAACUGCCUCUCCUUGCCUUCAUACUGGACCAAGAUCAUCGGCCGGUCAUCACUCCCUGCGACGACUUUGAAAGGCCACAAUUUGACAUCUUCUUGUACAGACUCGGCACUGAAUCGGCGGCCAAUUAGUCGCUUCACCUCUGUAGAAAAUUAGUCAUGUAGUCAAUCAGAUGAACCAUGUAUAGCUUAACUUCGAUAAUUUUAUUUUGCAUCUGUCAAAUGUCAUUUUUGUUAUGCUCGCAAAAAAAAAAAGCCAUUUUUGUUAGAAAAAAGAAUAUGGUUUGACACUGCCUUAACUUGCAUAUGCCCAGGUUCAGAUACUGUGAAUUUUCAGUCAUUAAACAGAUUAAUAAGAAAUAUAAUGGUCCGUGUAGCAACGGGAUAGUAUUGUGGUUGUCACUGGGCAGUUGCCAGCAUUGCUAUGAUUUAUCACAAUAUCAGAAUCCUCGUUCUGCAAUCGAUUCUUCCCCCACUUAAUUUAACUUUGGUUCUUGGAUAUAUUUGCGUUCUAGAUUCAACGAGAUGAAUUGAAAAACCAGUUCACACGGAAAGGGGAGAUGCCUGGGCGAUACUAAACAGUCUUACAGAAGUCCAAAGAAAAGUAGGAGUACUCCUUUACACAUCCGUGGGCAAGAAAAAUAAAUGGCAUAUAAAUUAGAAAUAUCAGCUGAACAAAACACGAAGCCAGCUACAGAAGAAGGCUGUAGCAAUCCAUUCAUCACUCAGUCCCCGGAGACCGGAGUUACUGGGCAAGCACCGUUUGCACCAGGGGUUUCGAUCGAUCUAUAAUGCCUGAUGCUGCGGCGGACUGUGAACCGCCGGCGCGAGUUUUGUGUUUCUUACUACUGACUGAAAAUUGAUCUGGGCGGCAUUCCACAAACGAGGCGACGAACAACUACUGAGACGGAAAAAAAAAACCCAUCUUUGGGCAUCAUGUACGUCUAAAACCCCAACGACUACCAACAAAAGAGGCGACGAACAACUACUGAGAUGGAGGCUACAGAACGGAGAAACACCGGCGAGUAGUACUCACCGAAGAUGGUGUUCAUGGGGUUCAGGGCGGCCUGGUUCACGGCCGCCUCGCCGACGAGCUUCUCGGUGCUGCUGAAGGCGACGCAGGAUGGCGUGAGGCGGUUGCCCUGGUCGUUGGCUAUGACCUCGCCGCGGUCGUGCCGCCACACGGCCACGCACGAGUAAGUCGUACCGAGGUCGAUGCCGACCGCCGGACCAUCGCUCUUCGAAGCGGCCGCCAUCUUCCUUCUCAGGGAAUCGUGUGGCGUGUGCGAGAAUGCGAGAAGAGUACUACUUCCGCUGUUUCGCAACGCCGAGCAGAGAGGUGUGUCAAGACUCAAGACUCAAGAGGGUAGAGGGAGUCAGGGAGGUGUGCCAAGAGAGUGCAGUGUGCGGUGCGGCGUGCUCAUAUGUCUGCGGCAGGGCAGUGUGUGUGUGUGGGGGAACUGGGAAGUCCCCACCCCCACCCCAAAAGUGCAGGGGAGUUGUUGAGUUCAAUUAAGGACUUGUUUAGUUUUAUUUUUUUACAAAAUAGAUAUUAUAGUAUUUUCGUUUGUAUUUAACAAAUAUUAUCUAAUUAUGAAUUAACUAUGUUUAGAAGAUUCAUCUCACAAAUUACAGAUAAACUAUAAAAUUAGUUAUUUUUUAUUUAUAUUUAAUACUCCAUACAUAUACCGUAAGAUUCCAUGUGACGAGAAAUCUGAAAAUUUUGAAAUUUUUUUUGAACUAAACAAGACCAGGCUUUGUUCAGUUCCCAUUUUUUUUGUUUUGAGAUACUAUAGCAUUUCCGUUUUUAUUUGGCAGUUAUUAUCUAAUUACGGACUAACUAGGCUCAAAAGAUUUAUCUUACAAUUUACAGACAAAUUGUGUAAUUAGUUUUUGUUUUCAUCUAUAUAUAAUGCUCUAUACAUGUGCCAUAAGAUUCGAUACGACCGAAAAUCUUAAAAAGUUUUUGGUUUUGGAUUGAACUAAACAAGACCUAAGCUUAAGCGAAUAGGGUAGAAAUCUUGUUGCUCGGAAGUGGGAACAAUCCAAAAGCUUAAGGCCCUGUUUAGUUUUCCACCAAAAUUUUUUUCAUCCAUCCUAUCGAAUUUUUAGACACAUGCAUGAAACAUUAAAUGUACAUAAAAAAAUAAACUAAUUACACAGUUUGGUAUGAAAUCGCGAGACGAAUCUUUUAAGCCUAGUUACUCUAUGAUUAGCCUUAAGUGCUACAGUAACUCAUAUGUGCUAAUGAUAGAUUAAUUAUACUUAAUAGAUUUGUCUUACAGUUUUCUGACAAGCUAUGUAAUUUGUUUUUUUAUUAGUUUCUAAAAACCCCUCCCGACAUCCUUCCGACAUAUCCGAUGUGACAUCCAAAAAAUUUUCAUCUCUAAUCUAAACUGGGCCUAAGCAAAGAGUCUAGAAAUCUUGUUGCUCCGAAGUGGGAACAAUCUAAAAUGAGGCCUUGUUUACUUCGCUAAAUUUUUUAAUUUUAACUAUUGUAUUAUUAUUUUUUUAUUUAAAAAUUAUUGUUCAAUUAUGAAUUAACUAGAUUCAAAAGAUUCAUUUUGUAAAUUACGAGUAAAUUAUAUAAUUAGUUUUUGUUUUCACUUAUAUUUAAUGCUUUAUACAUGUGUCUAAAGAUUUUUGAUGAGAAAUCUUGAAAAUUUUUAGUUCUAAAAAAUUUACAAAUAGAAAAAGUAAUAUUUUCGUUUGUAUUUGACAAAAAUGUUGUCCGUUUAUAGACUAACUGGCCUUAAAAAAUUCAUCUCGCAAAUUAUAGGUAAAGUGUGUAAUUAGUUAUUUAUUUUAUUUAAUUUAGUGUUCUAUAUAUGUACCGCAAGAUUUGAUGUGACAUAAAUCUGAGAAAUUUUAUAAAAUAUUUUGGUAACUAAUGAAUUGCAAUAGUCCAAAAACUGGCUAGCCGUAGCGAUGAAUUGCUGACUAGUGUUUACUUACACCUAAAAAUCCAAAAAAUUUCAAAAUUUUCCGUUAUAUCCAAUUUUUAGACAUAUACAUGGAGUAUUAAAUAUAGAUGAAAAUAAAAAUUAAUUACAUAAUUUAGUUGAAAUUUAAGAAACAAAUCUUUUAAAUCUAGUUAAUCUAUAAUUGAAUAAUAAUUAUCAUAAACAAACGAAAGUAAUAUAGUGUUGCAAAAUUUUUUACAUCAGAAACUAAACACGGCCUAGCAGUACCACUCUACCAGUCUGGACUGGACUGGACAGGUGAGGAGGCUCACCGCUCACCAGGCGCUGUGCUGCUGCAAGCUCAGAACUAUGCGUGUGCGUGUGGUGUGUACUGCCAUGCUGGUCUACAGAACUCUACUGUGGUGUGCGUAUUCCGCAGAAAAAGGCCCCGACGGGCCACGCGCCCACGCCGUGGUGAAAGAGGAGAGGGACAAAAGGGUGUUUAGUUGAGGUGUUAAAGUUUAACCAGUAUAAUAAUAUUUUCAUCUUAUUUAAUAAUUAGUAUUUAAUUAUAAACUAAUUAUUAUUAAAAUCUUCAUCUUGUAAAUUACUCUCUAGCUAUUUAUGUUUUUAGUUUUAUAAAUACUCUAUAUUUAGUACUUUGUGCAUGUGUCUAAAUAUUUAUGUGACAGGAGUUAGAGAGUGUUUGGUUAAAGUUGUUAAAGUUGACCUAUGAGAGUUCAGUAGACAUUAUUAUACGAGAGGUAAAAAGAUUUUUAAGUUUGAUUAAGCUUAUAUAAGAUAUUAUAUAUCGUUUAAUCUCUAAUUAAGUUUAUUAUGAAAAUAUAUUUUAUAAUUAAUCUAAUAAUAAAAUGGUUGCGAAGAAUAAUUUUUAAUCGAUUCAGACUACUCAGAAGUUUACCUAUUUUAAAAUAGGAUCUGAUCGAGAGCUUUAUUUAGAUUAGAACUCUUAUCUAUUUAGAUUAUGAAACAAUUAUUUUCUAUUUAAAUUGGAAUAGAGUUUCUAUUCAGGUUACUUGGAAGUCUUGCCUAUUUUAAAAUAAGCUGAUUAAAAGCUUUAUUUAGACUAGAACUAUUAUCUUUUACGGUUAUCUCAAGAAAUUUUGUAUGUCAUUAUAAAACAAGAAGCGGUAGGAAGACAUGAAUAGAAGCAGAUUCAACAUUCAUAGAGUUAGUUAGAAGAGAUGGAUGAAAAAAAUGUCUAAAAAUUUUAUCUCUUUGAUAUAGAUAUAGAUAUAGAUAUAGAUAUAGAUGUAGAUAUAGAUGUAGAUAUAGAUAUAGAUAUAGAUAUAGAUAUAGAUAUAGAUAUAGAUAUAGAUAUAGAUAUAGAUAUAGAUAUAGAUAUAGAUAUAGAUAUAGAUAUAGAUAUAGAUAUAGAUAUAGAUAUAGAUAUAGAUAUAGAUUUUUUUUCUAGAUCAAGGGAAUGCAUGCGUUUUUCUAAGAAAAAGUUAAGCCCUUACAAGAAGCUAACCACCAAGAUGGCAAGUCACCAUUAUUGGUGGUAAGCAAAGUACCAGAGUAACUGAGAAACAUAACAAGAAAAAACAAAACAAAGGAUUACAAGAUAUAGAUAUAGAUAUAAAAUAAGAAAGUGCCAUUUUGUCUAGAUUAGACCGUACAGAAUGAGAGUUUCUUGCCCCCUCAAAGCCGUCAUUCUAGCUGUCAGGGCACUCACAAUGCAAGACUCUAUCACAGAGUCCAAGACAAUUAAUUACAUACUAUUUAUGGUAUUUUGCUGAUGUGGCAGCAUAUUUAUAAAGAAAGAGGUAGAAAAAAUAAGACUCCAAGUCUUAUUUAGACUCUAAGUCCACAUUGUUCGAGGUAAUAAAUAAAUUUAGACUCUACGAUAGAGUCUGUAUUGUGAGUGCCCUCAACAAUCGCAUUUGAAACAUUUUAAAAUAGCUAUUCUCAGAUUCUCUAUUAAUUGAUAUCACGAUGGCAUAAUGAUUUGAGGUUGAUGUAACGACAUUUUCGACAUGACCAUCAUAAAAAAACUGAAUGAACUGUCCAUUCGCCACUGCUCCUUCCAAUGCAAAUGUACAUUAACAUUGUCAUUUCCUUCAUGCUUAUUUUUCCAAGUGAAUUUUGGCUCAGAAAAGCAUAAAUCAACAAAUUCACAGUCCUGAAGGCGCUCCUUCGAUAACCUCAUUUGUAUUAUCCUCUUUCCUCCUUGACGCAAUGUUCGUCUCUGCUAAAGUCUUCAUAUCUCUCAGAAAAGCAUAAAUCAACAAAUUCACAGUCCCGAAAUCGCAGGCACAAAUCUAAGAUCCAAACCACUCUUUCAUACCAAACGUAGGACAUCCUAGAAAUUAUGACGUAGUUCUCCUUUGGGCUCACCCUCGACCGAAGGAUCUCUCUUUGAAUUAUGACGUAGUUAUAAUGUUUUACAGAAACCAUGCAUUCUAGCUUGGACCCAAAAUAAAGCUAAACCUUCACUUUUUGCAUUAGCUAACAGCAAACACAGUCCAGAGACCACAUGAACUUUUGCACUUUGAUGUCCUUCAUUUUAGAUCUCGAUAAAAAAAAAAUAGGACGGGAGGAUUUUAUCUUCAUUUUAGCUUCCGACAAAAAUAGGAGGGGAUGAUUUUAGCUUGUUUCUGGACAGCAUAUAGUCCACCGGUUAUCUUGAACUCAGCUAUGUACUCCCUCCGUCCCAAAUUAUAAGUCAUUCCAAGAAUCUUGGAGAGUCAAAGUUUUUCAAAUUUGACCAAAUUUAUAGAACAAAAUAAUAACAUUUUUGGUACCAACCAAAUAUCAUUAGAUUCUUUGUUAGUUAUAUUUUUAUAGUGAACCUAUUUUAUAAUAUAAAUCUUUAUAUUUCUCUCUAUAUUUUUAAUCAAACUUAAAAAUGCUUUGACUCUCCAAAAUUCUUGGAAUGACUUAUAAUUUGGACCGAGGAGUACUUAACAAUUAGCAUUUCUCGCAUUUUCUUUUCGAUGGUGUAGUAUUAUAUCAACAACGGCAAAGACAGCUAUGCCUAUGCGGCUAUGCGUUUACAAAUCUGUCAAACUAACCCCAACUUGGGAACUAAAUUGGUAGAUGAGAGGCAAAGGCAAUCAAGAGGUAAAGGAUAAUAAUCCCAGCAGAAACCGUGAUCAAAGAAACAAUUCAUUGCAAUAUAGACUAGGCCAUGCAUACGCAAAUCCAAGCGUGCAUCCACUGACUGCAUAACAUAAACCCCCAGGUACUACGACUAAGCCGAACUGAUACAAAAUGCACUAGCUAUUGGAUAAUCAGAUCCUGGUCCAUGCUGCUGUCAUUCCAUCGCAAUCACCCUGGUAGCGACGACAGGAUCAUUUGCUUCCAGAACCGAACUGUGCGCCUAGCUCUCAAGCCUGUUCUUGGGCCCCAACUUCCUUCAGCUCCUCCUCCUCUGCCUUGUACUUCUCGCCGUCCUGAACCAUGCGCUCGAUCUCCUCCUGGCUUAGCUGCCCCUGGUCGCUGGAGAUGGUGAUCUCGUUCUUCUGCCCUGUCGUCGUGUCCUCCGCCGACACGUUCAGGACACCGUUCUCGUCGAUGUCAAAGGUCACAAUGAUCCGGGGUGCGGCCCUGGGCGCCGGAGCGAUGCCGGAGAGCUCGAACCUGCCGAGCAGGUAGUUGUCCCUGGUAGUCACCUGCUCACCCUCGUACACCCUGAUGAGCACGCUGUCCUGGUUCUCGAUGCAGGUGGAGAAGAGCCGCUCCUUUCUGGCAGGGAUAGUGGUGUUUCUCGGGAUCAGAACUGUCAUGGCGCCUCCUUUCGUCUCCACCCCGAGCGACAGCGGCGUGACAUCGACCAGCAUCAAAUCUCUGAUCUUGUUACGGCCAGCCUCGCCGUUGAGGAUAGCAGCCAUCAUGGCGGCUCCGUGCGCAACGGCCUCGUCGGGGUUGAUGCUCCGGCAGAGCCCCUUCCCGUCGAAGAAGUCCUGGAGCAUGCUCUGCACCUUGGGGAUGCGGGUGGAGCCACCAACGAGGACGACGUCGUCGAUGCUGCUCGUGUCCGUCGCGGCGUCGCGGAGGCACUUCUCCACGGCCUCUAUGCACUUGUUGAAGAGGUCUCUGUUGAGCUCCUCGAAACGGCCGCGCGUAAUGGUUGCGUAGAAGUCAAUGCCGUCGUGGAAGGAGUCAAUGUCGAUGCUGGUCUGGCUCGUGGAAGACAGCAGCCUCUUGGCCCUGUCACAGGCCGUCUUCAGCCGCUGCAUCGCCUUUGGGUUGCUUCGGACGUCCAUCUUCUUGUGUUUCCUUAUGAACUCGCGCAGGAAGUGUUUCACCAUUUCAUUGUCGAAGUCUUCCCCACCAAGGUGAGUGUCACCAGCAAUGGCCUUCACCUCGAACAUACCCAUGUCUAUGUCGAGGCCCGGAUCAAUGUCAAGGAGGGAAACGUCCAAGGUACCGCCACCGAGAUCAAAGAUGAGCACCGUCCUCCUCCCAUCUCUGGUUGGCAUCUUGUCAAGACCAUAUGCAAUAGCGGCAGCUGUGGGCUCGUUGAUGAUGCGCAUGACGUUAAGGCCGGCAAUGGUGCCGGCGUCAAUGGUGGCCUGGCGUUGAGAGUUGUUGAAGUAAACUGGGACAGUGAUGACGGCGUGCCUGACCGUCGUCUCGAGGUAGACCUCUGCAGUCUCCUUCAUCUUUGCCAGCACCAUGGCAGAGAUCUCCUCAGCAGCAAACUGUUUCUCCUCGCCUUUGUAAUGAACCACAAUCAUCGGCCGGUCCUCACGACCAGGGACGACUUUAAAAGGCCACAACUUGACAUCUCCCUGUACGGUCUCGUCGCUAAAUCGGCGGCCAAUCAGUCGCUUCACAUCUGUAUAUAAGAGAAUAACCAUCAAUCAAGUGUAUAGAACUUUGCAUCAAGAAUUAGAUAAUCAGUUCGUGCCAUUUGGCUAUUUGCAUGCAACAAUUGAACGACUCUUUGUUUUUCCUCUAUAAAAUUGAAGCGUUCGGUUGGCCAGUAAUAUUCAGUACCGGUGCUUAGGGAAGCUAAACAGUCACGUAGAAGAAGACAGAAAAGUGCUCCACUAAGAUCCGCGUGGUUCAUUUAAUUUGGGGGGAAAAUGGAAAAUACAGAAAUUUGUAAGUAUGAACAGCAACGGUAGUAACAGAGAACUGGACGAACGCCCUCGUCACAUGAUCUGACUCAGAUCAUCUCCAUCGUUCUUGGGCAGCCAUCGUGGGCAACAAAGAGCAAUCACGCCACUUCUGUACUCGCACUUCUUCCUAGUUCCUAAUAGUACCAGUCACGAACACCUCGGCGGCGUGCAGCGACGUAUAGAAACAAACGCAAUGAAGUUCAGAGUUUCUCACCGUGGAUGGUGUUGUCGGGGUUCAGAGCGGCCUGGUUCACGGCCGCGUCGCCGACGAGCCUCCCAACGUCGGCGAACGCGACGCAGGAUGGCGUGAGGAGGUUGCCCUGGUCGUUGGCGAUGACCUCGCCGUGGUCGUGCCGCCACACGGCCACGCAGGAGUAGGUCGUCCCCAGGUCGAUGCCGACCGCCGGCCCGUCGCCGGUCGACGCCGCCGUCUCCAUGUUCUCAGAUGGAGAGGCAAGAAACAGAUGCCACUACCACCGCUCCAGAGUCCAGACGACCUCAGGGAGUCGGAGAGACUCGAGGUGUGAGCGCGGCGGCGGCGCGAGCGCAGGGAAGAGCGGCCUGGAUAUAUGUAAAGCGCGCGACGAUUGCGAUCCCUAUGGUCAUUAAAGUUUGUAUCAGGAUUCGCUAGUACUCCAUCCGUAGCGUCGAUUUCAAGAAAAAAUUUCAAUUAUCUUAUAUGUUCUCUUAUCCAAAGGCCUUGUUAAAAAAUUUCGCGACAAUGUAGCACUUUCGUUUGUUUGUAGUAAUUAUUGUCCAACCAUAGACUAACUAGGCUCAAAAGAUUCGUCUCGUUAAUUGCGACCAAACUGUACAAUUAUUUUUUAUUUUCGUCUAUAUUUAAUACUUCAUGCAUGCGUCUAAAGAUUCGAUGUGACAGGGAAUCUUAAAAAAAUUUAGGUUUUUAGGUAGAAGUAAACAAUUCGCAAAAUUUUUCAAGAUUCUCAGUCACAUCGAAUCUUUGGUCGUAUGCAUGAAGUAUUAAAUAUAGACAAAAAUAAAAACUAAUUGCACAGUGUACCUGUAAUUUGUAAGAUGAAUCUUUUGAGCCUAGUUACUCCGUGAUUGAACAAUGUUUGUCAAAUAAAAACGAAAGUGCAGUAGCCAAAAACCAAAAUUUUUGCGAACUAAAUAAGGCCUAAUACAGGUAUAGUACGUUUUACCAUGGUCAGGCCUUGUUUAAGUUUUUGCAAUUUUUUUUCGAUUUUUCUCCACAUCGAAUCUUGCACAACAUGCAUAAAACAUUAAAUAUAAAUAAAAAAAUAAUUAAUUAUACAAUUUAUCUGUAUUUUGCGAGACGAUUUUUUUAGCCUAGUUAGGCCUUUUAAAACCAAAAAGUUUUCAAAAUUCUCUGUCACAUCGAAUCUUUCGUUACAUGCAUGAAGCACUAAAUGUAGACGAAAAUAAAAAUUAAUUGCACAGAAUCGUGAGACGAAUCUUUUGAUCCUAGUUAGUUUAUGAUUGGACAAUAUUUCGCACAAACAAACGAAAAUGCUACAGUAGCGAAAUCCAAAAUCUUUUCACAUCUAAACAAGACCUUAGGUUAUGAUUAGACAAUAUUAGUCAAAUACAAACAAAAUAGUAUAUAUUUUUGAAAAAAAAUUAGAACUAAAAAAGGCCUCAGUUGCUCACGGUCACGCACGCGCUCGUGCUCGUGCAGUCGCACAGCCGUUCAUGAGCGGUUCGCGGUGGGACGGGCUGCAACUGUGAACAUCAGAACAUGAGUAGACUGCACCAACAGGCAAACUGGGCCUGGCGUCGAAGCAGCAGGGCGGUUUAGCAGCCCAUCGGCCGGUCCACGAGCGUCUCUCAUCCUUCCGCACUGCCCCGCUGUGUCUGCGAGUGCGCAUCCUUCGUCCCCUUCCAGCCGCCGUCUCCCUCGCCCGGUCGACGGCGAAACUGGGGUCCACGGAGCUGGCGCGUCCAACUCCGACCCACGAAGACCUCCGUCGACGGCGGCGAAAAUAGGGCCGACUCCUAGAGGUUUCACUUCACAGGUUCAUCAAACACCAGUUGUGGAGACAGCGCCGCCGCUUCCAAUCGCCGGUGCUCUGUGCCCUGCGGAGCCCCCACCGCGGAAACCGGUUGGUGCGCGUGCGUGGAGCGGAGGCCAUGGCGGCGGCGAAGGUCAAAUCGGUCGCCCUCUCCGUCACCCACAAGUGCCGGGUACUGCUCGCCAGCAAUAUCAGCGACCGCUCCGCUCCUCCCUUAUUAGCCGCUGCUGUUCCUGCUCUUACUGCCCUCGCACCUGGUUUCGCAGAACAUCUUGGCUGCCGGUUGGGAAGCCCACCUCAACACUGUCAAGGCCGAUGCCAAGGGAAGGUUUGCUACUCUCUGGAUUCAUAUGCUCAUGUCGUAUUAUCUGUGUAUUUGUGCGAAUAAGGGCUGGAACAGUAUGAGUUGUUUGUCUUGAUUGGUUUUUGUUGGGGGUGCUCUUGGGCAGCAAUAGUGAGAUUUACUCGUCGAGGGUGCACUACAUGAUCCAGAAGGGCACGCCCUACCUGAUUGUCCCUGAGAACGACAUGCACAACAUUGUAAAACUCUUAAUUCCUCUUGUCCAUUUACUUAUUAUAUGAUGUUCGAUAAAUAGUAGUUGCCGUUAUAAUCAAACUGCAUUAAAAUAUGUUGCUUGCGUGGAAUCUUGUGUGGAUAGAACAUUAUAAUCGACGAGCGGGGGUCUCUUGCAGUAUGCAGUCCGAUCCGGGGCCGAGUUGCAGGCUUAUUGAAGUCACUGAAGAAGGUCCUUCUCUAUGAAUUUCAACUUGCUGGCAUUGAAAUUGUUGCUCGUUUCCUUUUAUUGUAUCGCUAGUACAAGCACCUAAUCUUGUUGCUGUACACAGACGCCUCCUCGUGUUGCUAUGACUGGUGAUGUUCUGCGACUGAAAGACUCAAAGGUAAACUUGUUCGCCAGUCCCCAGCAUGCAUAAACAUGCUUCAUUGCUUACUAUAGGUUGUAAGGUGAUGCCCACUAAUCUUUGUGUACUGUGCUUAAGGUUCCAAUUAUUGCUGAUAGCCUGAAGAAAGCUAUUCUGAAGGAACAUGAAGCUGCUAGUGGCGCUAGUUAUGGAAUGUCAUCAAUACUGUCUUCGGCUGGUGCUACCUGCAGGUCACGGAGUGAGGGCCUCCUUAGUCUACUCAGUGAGGAGAGCUCUUACAGCAUCUUAAAAUUUGACAUAGGGUCUGUAACACGGCUUGUUAUUUUCUGAUGUUAGGUAUCUUUUCUUAUUACUUAAUUCAGCACAGCUGAAUUUUCAUCAAUGCUAUUCUUGCAGUUCAUGUGUCUACAUAGACUCCAGCGGGAGCAGCCAUAAUAUUGAAUUGGACAGCUUUGAACCACCAAAAGCAGAUCUGCUAAGUAAGGCUUUUUUAUUCUUACAAGCUCUUUCACCCCUGCUGCCUUUCAUCUUCACCUUUAUUCUUUUCAUGGAAGCUAUAUGCAGACCAAAUUUUCAGUUAGAUAUAUAACUCCAGGAUGCUACUAGUCGGUUGCUUUCAACAAUUAUAUGUUGCCACACCUAUUUGUACUACGAUGUUAUUUUUCUAAAUGUGUAUUCUCCUUCCUAGUGCCAUUCUCUGCAAAGCUUGUGGAUGGUAUCAACCGAAAUGACUCGAGGAGGAGGGCACUGAUGAUUUUCUGUUUUGAGUACUUUAAUGUGAUAGCGAGAGUAAGUUAUUUUCUUUUAUCUGUACAAAUUGCAAUGUUGCAUGGGAUGCUCUUGUUGUUUCUGAUAUGUGAGGCUUCUUUCUUGUUGUCUGAAUUAUGACUUUCUAUUAGUUCAGUACAAUUAACUAUCAUACCUAUCUUUGCUUGAAGAACGCUGUCAUGCUUUCCAUUGACCACCACGGUUUUGAUGUCCUCGCCAAAGUGCCUGAAAGAACCAUCCUUACUGAUGUUCCUCGACAAUACCACUGGAAGGAGUUCAGGUUCACAUUCAAGGAACCAGCCAAGGAUGCUGAGGACUUCUGCCGCAUGUUGGUUGGGUUAGAGGACGAGGUUUUGAAGAGCUUGAAGAGCUAUAGCGGUUUAGGGUGACAGCCCACUUGGCAGAAUCUGAAUCUGUGAAGAAUUAUAUCUGACAUUCAGAUUCUGGUACUCAUAUUUGAAGUAUGGUUUCAUGUUGCUGUGUUAUUGGACAAUAUGGUUUCUUGAAGUUUGUAAAAAUUGUUGACAGUGAAACCCUGGAUUGCAAACCCAAAAUUAUAUAUUUAGAUUUUUACAGCCUGCAUGAUUGUUUUUUUGUGCAUCUUUGUUAUUCCAGUACGGUGUUCUUUGUAAAGUCAGUACUUUUUUGUGCAUCUUUGUUAUUGCAGUACGGUGUUCUUUGUAAAGUCAAGUACUCCUAUUUGUUAGCAAAUGUAUCCACUAGUGCUCCUGUUGCUAAGCUUAAGGCUUUUUCUGGAAUCUUAGUUAUUCAGAGUAUUGCAUAGUAAAGUUUUUUUUAGUAUCUAAACAGUAGAUUUCGAAGAUGUAAUACUUCCAAUACAUGUAGGAAUGAAAAGUGUAGUAUACUAAUCACUAUUUAUAGCCACGGUAAUAAUAUAUAAUAAAUUUAAACAUAAAGUAGGGGCCCGAUGAAUGGCCAAAAAGGAAAAUGCAUGAAAAGAGUACUAGGAUCCAGUUUGUAAUUAUUUAAUAAGCAAAACUAUCAAAAUUCCUCAUUUAGUCGACUUCUUCGAUCUUGGGGCCAGCACCACUGCCACCAGCCGGCGGAGCAUCCUGAUCCAUGCCACCGGCCAUGUCAGGACCAGCAGCGCCCUGGUACAUCUUGGCGAUGAUGGGGUUGCAGAUGCCCUCCAGCUCCUUCAUCUUGUCCUCAAACUCGUCGACCUCGGCGAGCUGGUUGUUGUCGAGCCAAUUAAUGGCCCCCUCGAUGGCGUCAUCAAUCUUCUUCUUGUCGGCCUCCGGGAGCUUGGAGGCGAUCUUGUCGUCCCUGAUGGUGUUGCGCAUGUUGUAGGCGUAGUUCUCGAGCGAGUUCUUGGCGUCCACCUUCUUCUUGUGCUCCUCGUCCUCGGCCUUGUACUUCUCUGCCUCCUGCACCAUCUUCUCGAUCUCCUCUUUGCUCAGCCGGCCCUUGUCGUUGGUGAUCGUGAUCUUGUUCUUCUGGCCGGUGGUCUUGUCCUCAGCCGACACGUUGAGGAUGCCGUUGGCAUCCAUGUCGAAGCACACGGUGAUCUGGGGGACGCCCCUGGGCGCCGGAGGGAUGCCAGAGAGCUCGAACUUGCCGAGCAGGUUGUUGUCUUUGGUCCUGGCCCUCUCACCCUCGUACACCUGGAUGAGCACGCCGGGCUGGUUGUCGGAGUAAGUGGAGAAGACCUGCUCCUUCUUCGUGGGGAUGGUGGUGUUCCUGGGGAUGAGCACCGUCAUGACGCCUCCGGCCGUCUCCAGGCCGAGCGAGAGCGGCGAGACGUCGAGCAGGAGCAGGUCCUGCACCUUCUCGUUGCCCUCGCCGGUGAGGAUGGCGGCCUGGACGGCGGCGCCGUACGCGACAGCCUCGUCUGGGUUGAUGCUCUUGCACAGCUCCUUGCCGUUGAAGAAGUCCUGGAGCAGCUGCUGCACGCGGGGGAUGCGGGUGGAGCCGCCCACGAGCACGACGUCGUGCACGCUGCUCUUGUCCAUCUUGGCGUCGCGGAGGCACUUCUCCACGGGCUCCAUGCACUUGCGGAAGAGGUCCAUGUUGAGCUCCUCAAACCGGGCGCGGGUGAUGGUGGUGUAGAAGUCGAUGCCCUCGUAGAGCGAGUCGAUCUCGAUGGUGGUCUGGGCGGUGGAGGAGAGCGUCCUCUUGGCCCUCUCGCAGGCGGUCCGCAGCCGCCGGAGCGCCCUGGGGUUGCCGGUGAUGUCCUUCUUGUUCUUCCUCUUGAACUCCUGGACGAAGUGGUUCACGAGCCGGUUGUCGAAGUCCUCGCCUCCUAGGUGGGUGUCGCCGGCGGUGGCCUUGACCUCGAAGAUGCCCUCCUCGAUGGUGAGGAGCGAGACGUCGAAGGUACCGCCGCCGAGGUCGAAGAUGAGGACGUUCUUCUCGCCGUCACUGCUCGACUUCUUGUCGAGCCCGUAGGCGAUGGCCGCGGCGGUGGGCUCGUUGAUGAUGCGCAUGACGUUGAGGCCGGAGAUGACGCCGGCGUCCUUGGUGGCCUGGCGCUGGGAGUCGUUGAAGUAGGCCGGGACGGUGACGACGGCGUUCUUGAUGGUGGUGCCGAGGUAGGCCUCCGCCGUGUCCUUCAUCUUGUUCAGGAUCAUGGAGCUGAUCUCCUCUGCCGAGAACUGCUUCUCCUCGCCCCU
This 23443-nucleotide long non-coding RNA is filed under the name Sorghum bicolor (sorghum). RNAcentral's name for it is "long non-coding RNA (SBIC_LNC001660)". The record is from RNAcentral. Lineage: Eukaryota; Viridiplantae; Streptophyta; Magnoliopsida; Poales; Poaceae.